UGAGGAAUAUUGGACAAUGGAUGGAAAUCUGAUCCAGCCAUGCCGCGUGCAGGAAGACGGCCCUAUGGGUUGUAAACUGCUUUUAUACGGGAGCAAUAAGGUCUACGUGUAGACUGAUGAGAGUACCGUAUGAAUAAGCAUCGGCUAACUCAAUGCCAGCAGCCGCGGUAAU
Molecule: ribosomal RNA, 172 nt
Filed under: uncultured Bacteroidota bacterium
Lineage: Bacteria; Pseudomonadati; Bacteroidota
Description: uncultured Bacteroidetes bacterium partial 16S ribosomal RNA
Rfam family: Bacterial small subunit ribosomal RNA
Source: RNAcentral